GCUACCACAUCCAAGGAAGGCAGCAGGCGCGCAAAUUACCCACUCUCGGCACGAGGAGGUAGUGACGAAAAAUAACGAGACGGAUCUCUUUGAGGCCCGUUAUCGGAAUGAGAACAAUUCAAAUCCUUUAACGAGGAUCUAGCGGAGGGCAAGUCUGGUGCCAGCAGCCGCGGUAAUUCCAGCUCCGCAGGUGUAUAUCUAUGCUGCUGCGGUUAAAAAGCUCGUAGUUGGAUCUGCGUGCUCGGAACUGGUUGGCUCACUGAGUUCAAACUGGUCUCCGGCGCUUUAUUGGCUGGUUUUCCCUUGAUGCUCUUAACCGGGUGUCUUGGGUGGCUAGCACGUUUACUUUGAAAAAAUUAGAGUGCUCAAUACAGGCGUAAAGCCUUGAAUAGUGGUGCAUGGAAUAAUAGAAUAGGACCUCGGCUCUAUUUUGUUGGUUUUCGGAACGCGAGGUAAUGAUUAAGAGGGACAGACGGGGGCAUUCGUAUUGCGACGUUAGAGGUGAAAUUCUUGGAUCGUCGCAAGACGGACGACUGCGAAAGCAUUUGCCAAGAAUGUUUUCAUUAAUCAAGAACGAAAGUUAGAGGUUCGAAGGCGAUCAGAUACCGCCCUAGUUCUAACCGUAAACGAUGCCAACUAGCGAUUCGCAGGCGUUAAACAACGACCUUGCGGGCAGCUUCCCGGAAACGAAAGUGUUCGGGUUCCGGGGGAAGUAUGGUUGCAAAGCUGAAACUUAAAGGAAUUGACGGAAGGGCACCACCAGGAGUGGAGCCUGCGGCUUAAUUUGACCCAACACGGGAAAACUCACCCGGCCCGGACACCGUAAGGAUUGACAGAUUGAGAGCUCUUUCUUGAUUCGGUGGGUGGUGGUGCAUGGCCGUUCUUAGUUGGUGGAGCGAUUUGUCUGGUUUAUUCCGAUAACGAACGAGACUCUGGCCUACUAAAUAGUGGGCGGAUUCUUUCUGUCCGCAACACUUCUUAGAGGGACAAGCGGUGUUCAGCCGCACGAGAUUGAGCAAUAACAGGUCUGUGAUGCCCUUAGAUGUCCGGGGCUGCACGCGCGCUACACUGAAGGAAUCAGCGUGCUUUCUGACCUUGCCCGAAAGGGCUGGGUAACCCGAUGAAAAUCCUUCGUGAUUGGGAUAGGGACUUGCAAUUAUUUCCCUUGAACGAGGAAUUCCCAGUAAGUGUGGGUCAUAAGCUCGCGUUGAUUACGUCCCUGCCCUUUGUACACACCGCCCGUCGCUGCCCGGAACUGAGCCGUUUCGAGAAGAACAGGGACCGUCGUUGAAGGGCCUUAACGGGCUUUUCUCUGAUAGAAACUGUUUUAAUCGCAGUGGCUUGAACCGGGCAAAAGUCGUAACAAGGUU
RNAcentral lists this ribosomal RNA (1370 nucleotides) under metagenome. RNAcentral's name for it is "SSU rRNA". It matches the Rfam family "Eukaryotic small subunit ribosomal RNA", at positions 406 to 1801 of the family's 1831-position model. The record is from RNAcentral.